GGUGGUGUGGUGUAAUGGUAUCACGUGACGUUGUGGUGAACACGCAUGAUCCGUUUCAAUCUGGGUUCGAUUCCCAGCACCGCCA
This 85-nucleotide transfer RNA is filed under the name Blumeria graminis f. sp. tritici. It matches the Rfam family "tRNA". From Rfam's summary of the family: Transfer RNA (tRNA) molecules are approximately 80 nucleotides in length. Their secondary structure includes four short double-helical elements and three loops (D, anti-codon, and T loops). Lineage: Eukaryota; Fungi; Ascomycota; Leotiomycetes; Helotiales; Erysiphaceae. RNAcentral also lists the same sequence under 1 other name. The record is from Rfam by way of RNAcentral.